Molecule: ribosomal RNA, 460 nt
Filed under: uncultured bacterium
Lineage: Bacteria
Description: partial 16S ribosomal RNA
Rfam family: Bacterial small subunit ribosomal RNA
Source: RNAcentral
CCUACGGGGUGCAGCAGUGAGGAAUAUUGGUCAAUGGACGAGAGUCUGAACCAGCCAAGUAGCGUGAAGGAUGACUGCCCUAUGGGUUGUAAACUUCUUUUAUAUGGGAAUAAAAUGUUCCACGUGUGGGAUUUUGUAUGUACUAUAUGAAUAAGGAUCGGCUAACUCCGUGCCAGCAGCCGCGGUAAUACGGAGGAUCCGAGCGGUAUCCGGAUUUAUUGGGUUUAAAGGGAGCGUAGGUGGAUUGUUAAGUCAGUUGUGAAAGUUUGCGGCUCAACCGUAAAAUUGCAGUUGAAACUGGCAGUCUUGAGUACAGUAGAGGUGGGCGGAAUUCGGGGUGUAGCGGUGAAAUGCUUAGAUAUCACGAAGAACUCCGAUUGCGAAGGCAGUUCACUGGACUGCAACUGACACUGAGGCUCGAAAGUGUGGGUAUCAAACAGGAUUAGAUACCCUAGUAGUC